This 301-nucleotide ribosomal RNA is filed under the name uncultured bacterium. RNAcentral describes it as "partial 16S ribosomal RNA". It matches the Rfam family "Bacterial small subunit ribosomal RNA", at positions 509 to 808 of the family's 1533-position model. The record is from RNAcentral.
CAGCAGCCGCGGGAAUACGUAGGUGGCAAGCGUUGUCCGGAAUUAUUGGGCGUAAAGCGAGCGCAGGCGGUUAGAUAAGUCUGAAGUUAAAGGCUGUGGCUUAACCAUAGUACGCUUUGGAAACUGUUUAACUUGAGUGCAAGAGGGGAGAGUGGAAUUCCAUGUGUAGCGGUGAAAUGCGUAGAUAUAUGGAGGAACACCGGUGGCGAAAGCGGCUCUCUGGCUUGUAACUGACGCUGAGGCUCGGAAGCGUGGGGAGCAAACAGGAUUAGAUACCCCUGUAGUCCCUGUCUCUUAUACC